GCAGAGCACUCCUAGGGAGGCAGCAGUGGGGAAUAUUGCACAAUGGGCGCAAGCCUGAUGCAGCCAUGCCGCGUGUAUGAAGAAGGCCUUCGGGUUGUAAAGUACUUUCAGCAGUGAGGAAGGUGGGUAUGUUAAUAGCAUACUCAUUUGACGUUAGCUGCAGAAGAAGCACCGGCUAACUCCGUGCCAGCAGCCGCGGUAAUACGGAGGGUGCGAGCGUUAAUCGGAAUUACUGGGCGUAAAGCGCAUGCAGGUGGUUUGUUAAGUCAGAUGUGAAAGCCCCGGGGCUCAACCUCGGAAUUGCAUUUGAAACUGGCAAACUAGAGUACUGUAGAGGGGGUAGAAUUUCAGGUGUAGCGGUGAAAUGCGUAGAGAUCUGAAGGAAUACCGGUGGCGAAGGCGGCCCCCUGGACAGAUACUGACACUCAGAUGCGAAAGCGUGGGGAGCAAACAGGAUUAGAUACCCUGGUAG
RNAcentral lists this ribosomal RNA (472 nucleotides) under uncultured bacterium. RNAcentral describes it as "bacterial SSU rRNA". It matches the Rfam family "Bacterial small subunit ribosomal RNA", at positions 328 to 793 of the family's 1533-position model. The record is from RNAcentral.